This 368-nucleotide ribosomal RNA is filed under the name uncultured organism. RNAcentral's name for it is "bacterial SSU rRNA". It matches the Rfam family "Bacterial small subunit ribosomal RNA", at positions 526 to 896 of the family's 1533-position model. The record is from RNAcentral.
CGUAGGUGGCAAGCGUUGUCCGGAUUUAUUGGGUUUAAAGGGUGCGUAGGCGGCCGCCUAAGUCAGUUGUGAAAUACCCCGGCUCAACCGGGGGGGUGCGAUUGAUACUGGGCGGCUCGAGUAACAGCGAGGUUGGCGGAAUUGACGGUGUAGCGGUGAAAUGCAUAGAUAUCGUCAAGAACACCGAUAGCGAAGGCAGCCAACUAGGGGUUAACUGACGCUGAGGCACGAAAGUGUGGGGAUCAAACAGGAUUAGAUACCCUGGUAGUCCGCACUGUAAACGAUGAUUACUCGAUGUUGGCGAUAGACAGCCAGCGUCCAAGGGAAACCGAUAAGUAAUCCACCUGGGGAGUACGCCGGCAACGGUG